GCUGGGCAUGGUGGUGCGUGCCUGUAAUCCCAGCACUUGGGAGGCUGAGGCAGGAGAAUCAUUUGAACCCAGAAGAUGGAGGUUGCAGUGAGUGAGAUUGCGCCACUGCACUCCAGCCUGGGUGACAGAGUGAGACUCUGUCUCAA
Molecule: small RNA, 146 nt
Filed under: Pongo abelii (Sumatran orangutan)
Lineage: Eukaryota; Metazoa; Chordata; Mammalia; Primates; Hominidae
Description: Metazoan signal recognition particle RNA (ENSPPYG00000038246.1)
Source: Rfam by way of RNAcentral